RNAcentral lists this ribosomal RNA (253 nucleotides) under uncultured Geothrix sp. RNAcentral's name for it is "partial 16S ribosomal RNA". It matches the Rfam family "Bacterial small subunit ribosomal RNA", at positions 524 to 776 of the family's 1533-position model. Lineage: Bacteria; Pseudomonadati; Acidobacteriota; Holophagae; Holophagales; Holophagaceae. The record is from RNAcentral.
UACGAAGGGGGCAAGCGUUAUUCGGAAUUAUUGGGCGUAAAGGGCGCGUAGGCGGUUUCUUAAGUCGGAUGUGCAAUCCCCGGGCUCAACCCGGGAACUGCAUCCGAGACUGGGAGGCUAGAGUACUGGAGAGGUUGGUGGAAUUCCUCGUGUAGCGGUGAAAUGCGUAGAGAUGAGGAGGAACACCAGUGGCGAAGGCGGCCAACUGGACAGUAACUGACGCUGAGGCGCGAAAGCGUGGGUAGCAAACAGG